RNAcentral lists this ribosomal RNA (495 nucleotides) under uncultured bacterium. RNAcentral's name for it is "partial 16S ribosomal RNA". It matches the Rfam family "Bacterial small subunit ribosomal RNA", at positions 28 to 507 of the family's 1533-position model. The record is from RNAcentral.
GACGAACGCUGGCGGCGUGCCUAAUACAUGCAAGUAGAACGCUGAAGGAGGAGCUUGCUUCUCCGGAUGAGUUGCGAACGGGUGAGUAACGCGUAGGUAACCUGCCUGGUAGCGGGGGAUAACUAUUGGAAACGAUAGCUAAUACCGCAUAAGAGUAGAUGUCGCAUGACAUUUGCUUAAAAGGUGCAACUGCACCACUACCAGAUGGACCUGCGUUGUAUUAGCUAGUUGGUGAGGUAACGGCUCACCAAGGCAACGAUACAUAGCCGACCUGAGAGGGUGAGCGGCCACACUGGGACGGAGACACGGCCCAGACUCCUACGGGAGGCAGCAGUAGGGAAUCUUCGGCAAUGGACGGAAGGCUGACCGAGAAACGCCGCGUGAGGGAAGAAGGGUUUCGGAUCGUAAAGCUCUGUUGUAAGAGAAGAACGAGUGUGAGAGUGGAAAGUUCACACUGUGACGGUAUCUUACCAGAAAGGGACGGCUAACUACGUG